RNAcentral lists this ribosomal RNA (1325 nucleotides) under Escherichia coli. RNAcentral describes it as "partial 23S ribosomal RNA". It matches the Rfam family "Bacterial large subunit ribosomal RNA", at positions 1493 to 2798 of the family's 2925-position model. The record is from RNAcentral. Lineage: Bacteria; Pseudomonadati; Pseudomonadota; Gammaproteobacteria; Enterobacterales; Enterobacteriaceae.
GGGCGACGGUUGUCCCGGUUUAAGCGUGUAGGCUGGUUUUCCAGGCAAAUCCGGAAAAUCAAGGCUGAGGCGUGAUGACGAGGCACUACGGUGCUGAAGCAACAAAUGCCCUGCUUCCAGGAAAAGCCUCUAAGCAUCAGGUAACAUCAAAUCGUACCCCAAACCGACACAGGUGGUCAGGUAGAGAAUACCAAGGCGCUUGAGAGAACUCGGGUGAAGGAACUAGGCAAAAUGGUGCCGUAACUUCGGGAGAAGGCACGCUGAUAUGUAGGUGAAGUCCCUCGCGGAUGGAGCUGAAAUCAGUCGAAGAUACCAGCUGGCUGCAACUGUUUAUUAAAAACACAGCACUGUGCAAACACGAAAGUGGACGUAUACGGUGUGACGCCUGCCCGGUGCCGGAAGGUUAAUUGAUGGGGUCAGCGCAAGCGAAGCUCUUGAUCGAAGCCCCGGUAAACGGCGGCCGUAACUAUAACGGUCCUAAGGUAGCGAAAUUCCUUGUCGGGUAAGUUCCGACCUGCACGAAUGGCGUAAUGAUGGCCAGGCUGUCUCCACCCGAGACUCAGUGAAAUUGAACUCGCUGUGAAGAUGCAGUGUACCCGCGGCAAGACGGAAAGACCCCGUGAACCUUUACUAUAGCUUGACACUGAACAUUGAGCCUUGAUGUGUAGGAUAGGUGGGAGGCUUAGAAGUGUGGACGCCAGUCUGCAUGGAGCCGACCUUGAAAUACCACCCUUUAAUGUUUGAUGUUCUAACGUUGACCCGUAAUCCGGGUUGCGGACAGUGUCUGGUGGGUAGUUUGACUGGGGCGGUCUCCUCCUAAAGAGUAACGGAGGAGCACGAAGGUUGGCUAAUCCUGGUCGGACAUCAGGAGGUUAGUGCAAUGGCAUAAGCCAGCUUGACUGCGAGCGUGACGGCGCGAGCAGGUGCGAAAGCAGGUCAUAGUGAUCCGGUGGUUCUGAAUGGAAGGGCCAUCGCUCAACGGAUAAAAGGUACUCCGGGGAUAACAGGCUGAUACCGCCCAAGAGUUCAUAUCGACGGCGGUGUUUGGCACCUCGAUGUCGGCUCAUCACAUCCUGGGGCUGAAGUAGGUCCCAAGGGUAUGGCUGUUCGCCAUUUAAAGUGGUACGCGAGCUGGGUUUAGAACGUCGUGAGACAGUUCGGUCCCUAUCUGCCGUGGGCGCUGGAGAACUGAGGGGGGCUGCUCCUAGUACGAGAGGACCGGAGUGGACGCAUCACUGGUGUUCGGGUUGUCAUGCCAAUGGCACUGCCCGGUAGCUAAAUGCGGAAGAGAUAAGUGCUGAAAGCAUCUAAGCACGAAACUUGCC